RNAcentral lists this long non-coding RNA (276 nucleotides) under Daphnia magna. RNAcentral describes it as "uncharacterized LOC123471561". Lineage: Eukaryota; Metazoa; Arthropoda; Branchiopoda; Diplostraca; Daphniidae. The record is from RNAcentral.
AGGAGAAACUGCGGACUUUCACCUGCGGACUGGCCCAAAUUUUUGACAGCAGUCCGCAGUUUCUCCACAGGGUAGCUGUCCGCAGUCCGCGUAUUAUACGGAGAUACAGCAUUCCAUAUAGACAUGUCUAUGCGUUGGUAAGGCAGAAAAUUGGACAAGACAGAUCAACCUUAUUUUUGUCAUGCAUUGGCUGUUGUUCGAUAACUGUUGCUUUUUAAAAAUAUGUAUGCAUGCAACAAUUCCAAUGAAUAAAAAUAAAAAUGCGCACAGCUCUUA